Molecule: ribosomal RNA, 424 nt
Filed under: uncultured bacterium
Lineage: Bacteria
Description: bacterial SSU rRNA
Rfam family: Bacterial small subunit ribosomal RNA
Source: RNAcentral
UGAGGAAUAUUGGUCAAUGGACGCAAGUCUGAACCAGCCAUGCCGCGUGCAGGAAGACGGCUCUAUGAGUUGUAAACUGCUUUUGUACGAGGGUAAAUGCAGGUACGUGUAUCUGUUUGAAAGUAUCGUACGAAUAAGGAUCGGCUAACUCCGUGCCAGCAGCCGCGGUAAUACGGAGGAUCCAAGCGUUAUCCGGAUUUAUUGGGUUUAAAGGGUGCGUAGGCGGUUUUAUAAGUUAGAGGUGAAAUCUCGGGGCUCAACUCCGAAAUUGCCUCUAAUACUGUAGGACUAGAGAGUAGUUGCGGUAGGCGGAAUGUAUGGUGUAGCGGUGAAAUGCUUAGAGAUCAUACAGAACACCGAUUGCGAAGGCAGCUUACCAAACUAUAUCUGACGUUGAGGCACGAAAGCGUGGGGAGCAAACAGG